Danio aesculapii is the source of this 580-nucleotide long non-coding RNA. RefSeq lists it as uncharacterized. NCBI's taxonomy places the organism in Eukaryota, Metazoa, Chordata, Actinopteri, Cypriniformes, Danionidae. The transcript is spliced from 4 exons. The record is from RefSeq and is a predicted model, not a curated record.
UAAAGCACAUUCAGCCUUAAACUUUGUUAAUAGCCUCCAUAUUUUGAUUGCUAGUUUGGCAAUUGAUCCAUACGGAAUGAUCCUGAUUAAAGAUACUGUAGUAAACAAACAAAAAAGACAAAAGGUUAUACUGCCAAUUUGUCCUUUGGAUCUGUACACCUUAAAAAUAGUGUUUUAAUCUGGACACACACCUGAUCUUUGCACUCUUUUCUCUUGUGCUCUGAGGUGAGGUUUCAGCUGAACAGGUUUGCUCCUCAUCACUGGAGUCUCUAAAACAACAAGCUCUUCCUCUUCCUGGAAUGUGAGGGGUCCUGUGCAGAAAACACAGAUUUUCCCCAUCAGUUUGAAGCACAGCAAACAGUAACGGCCUGUGAAAUGAAAUCAUUUUGCCCAGCAGCCAUGCAAGAUUCUUUCCCGAUAUCCAAGAGCCUGGCUAUGAUGGAACCCCCUGGCAGACUGUAAAACAGGGGUUGUUCAGGUUUUAAGACAGUACAGAAUGUCAAAUGAGGCUGCAAUGUCCCGGAAGAUAUCUGAGGCGUAACCAGAUCCAUUUACUUGGACUGCAACUACUACUGGAGCU